Non-coding RNA from Gracilinanus agilis (Agile Gracile Mouse Opossum), 1353 nucleotides. The record is from the annotation of a RefSeq genome assembly. NCBI's taxonomy places the organism in Eukaryota, Metazoa, Chordata, Mammalia, Didelphimorphia, Didelphidae.
AUGAGUCAUGAGGAUGCAUGCACAGAAAUGGAGAGUGAGGAACUGGAUGGACUUUGGACAACCAUUUAUGUCUUCAUUGUCCUCUUCCUUCUCAGCGUUUGCUAUAGUGCCACAGUCACCCUAUUCAAGGUAAAGUGGAUUUUUUCUGCAGUGCUGCAGCUGAAGCCUGAACCCAAGACCCCACCCAGUGUUUUCCCCCUGAGCCUCUGUGGAGCUGGUAACUCAGGGGUGGUAGGCUGCCUUGCUCAAGGCUUCUUCCCAGAGCCUGUAGAGCUGACCUGGGAUUACAGUGGCUCCGAAGGCACAGUGAGGAGCUAUCCUGCUACACUAUCUGGAAAUAAGUACCUUCAAACCAGUGUGCUUGAUCUCCACACCGACCAGUGCCCUAAGGAGCCUAAGACCUACAAGUGCCAAGCAAAACACUACGAAACCAGUGUUGACGUGAAUGUUCCCUGCGUUGUACCACCAUGUGAUUGCCCAUGUGGAGUUCAGGUAUCCCUGAGUGGCCCCUCUCUGGAGAGCCUGCUCCUGGGUAUAGGUGCCAACCUGACAUGCACACUCAGUGGCAUCAAGAACAGUAAUGGAGCCACAUUCACCUGGAAGCAUCAUACAGCCCAGGCAUCAACUUUGAGCCCUAUCCAAGGAACACCUGAACAAGACUCUAAUGGCAAGUACAGGGUGUCCAGUGUCCUGGAGAUCUGCACUGAGGACUGGCUCCAUGGGGACACCUUUUCCUGCACUGUGUCCCAUCCUGAGAUAAACACUACAAAGACCAUCUACAAGCCAGAAGUGCCCCAGAUACCACCCCAGGUCUACCUGCUGCCACCAUCAACAGAUGAAGGAGCCUUACAUGAAGUGGUCUCAAUCAUAUGCCUGGUGAGAGGCUUUAGCCCAAAAGACGUGUUCAUACGAUGGAUGAAAGGAUCUGAGGAGCUGCCCAAGAAAGACUAUAUCACCAGCAACCCUUAUCCAGAGCCCAAGAGCACCAGCACCCACAUGGUAUCUAGCAUCCUCCAAGUCCAAAGCACUGAUUGGAAAAACGAUAACAAAUACUCCUGUGUGGUAGGCCAUGAAGCUCUUCCCCUGAACUUCACCCAGCAAACCAUCGACCGAUUGUCUGGUAAACCCACCAAUGUUAAUGUAUCUGUCAUCGUGUCUGAUGUCUAUGAUCACGGGAAGGAGGUGACGAUGUCCAUUAACUGUCUUGAUAAGGAUUUUGUGGAAGAGGAUGAUAGCGAAGCCACCCUAUGGCCCAUGACAGUGACCUUCCUCACUCUGUUCCUGCUCAGCAUGUUCUACAAUACCACAGUGACCCUCAUGAAGACCAAGUCUGGUCCAGCCAUCAAGUACUAA